UGGUGAUGGGAAAUCAUCUGGAAAAUACGGUGGUCUUGGUGCCAGUAUGGGAGGGGAUCCUGCACCUGCAAAAUACGGAUAUGGUGGCCUCCCAAAUGGCGGGCAACUUCUUGGUCUUGGCAAUAAUGGAAAUGCAC
This is a long non-coding RNA of Scomber scombrus (Atlantic mackerel), 137 nucleotides long. RefSeq lists it as uncharacterized. NCBI's taxonomy places the organism in Eukaryota, Metazoa, Chordata, Actinopteri, Scombriformes, Scombridae. The transcript is spliced from 3 exons. The record is from RefSeq and is a predicted model, not a curated record.